This 1024-nucleotide unclassified non-coding RNA is filed under the name Leishmania donovani. RNAcentral describes it as "gene:LdHU3.29.0560(CDS-product:RNA_polymerase_Rpb 4_putative)". The record is from RNAcentral. Lineage: Eukaryota; Euglenozoa; Kinetoplastea; Trypanosomatida; Trypanosomatidae.
GUAACGUGAACAGGUCGUGCACCACCGCAGGAUACAUACGCGCAUCGACACACACACACGCACACAGACACGCAAGCAUACCGAUGGAAGAGAGCUACGUCGAGGGUAACCUCGGCCCCGUCUUCAACAACGCCGAGCCGCUUUCCCUUCCGAUUGUAGCGCGUAUUCUUCACGAGAAACGUAUCGGCGCCGAGGACACAGACAAGAUCAAAGGCGUGCUGAUUCAGUCCUGCUGUGAGGCGGUCGAUAUCCUACAGGAGGACUGCGCGCCAGAGAGUAUGGUGAACAGCCUGCACGGGAAACGGCUGCGACUGCGCGCCGGUGGCGGUGGCGUUGCAAAUGCCCACUUGAUGGGGCUCCAGAUUGACGAGAACGGCUACGCAGUGCUGCCGCCUGAGGGCACUGCACCGUCCGCCGCUGCCCCAUCACCCGGGUCUCGCACAGAGCGCAUGAAGCCCUUCGAGAUUAUUGCUCUCACGACGCUGCGACCGACCACGACGAGGGAGGCGGUGGAGUUGAUCCCGUCGUUGUACCGCUUCGAGGAUGCGGAGCUGGACGACAUACUAGGCAUGCUGUCCUACUAACCGCUGCCGUUCCGCUCGGACACGACUCCCUCAUGCUUGGCGCGCAAGCGCUUCGGCACAGCGUGGAGUUUUGUGUGUGCGCGUGUGUCUUGGAUGUGCAUGAGUGCGUGCGCGUGCGCCGCGGCGCCGUGCAGAAGCGGCGUGCGUCGUUGUGCCGUUUUUUAUUUGUUUGCAGGAGGGAGGGAGGGACGGUGUGGAGACACCAUCACGGAUGGUGUCUCCACACCACACCACCCCGCACCACCCCACCUCUCUUUCUCGCUCUCGUACGCAUAACGGCUCCGCUAAACAGCGCCUCGGGCGGCAGAACAAGAAAGUGGGAUCGAUGCUAAGCUUUCGCGCAGUCACUUGUAUCACGCCCCAAAUGCUGCUCUUGCUGCAAAUGCCACUGCGAAUGGAGAGCGCAGCUGAGGUUGAGUGGUGCACAUACCUACGCUCAG